CUCACGACCGAAUAUAGUGAUAGUGAGUGAGCGAGAGAAAGAGAGACACAGAGAGGGUGUCAAGGAGAGACAAUUGAUGGCCAGACUGGCCCACAGACAACGGACCCCGAAUGAAUGAAUUGAGUCGUCUGCCUGGAGAGAGGGGAGAGCAGAGCGGAGGCCUGGCAAAAGAUGGAAGAAAAAGUGUAAAAGAUGUGGCCAAUAUGUAAGCAGCUUCUGUUUUCUGUUAUUCUUUCUGUGGUCGAGGCCAAUUCGCUUAUUGAGUUCAUUUACAUUUCACAAAAAUAUCAAAGAUGAAACGAUAUUUUUCCUCUCUCUCUCUCUCUCACUCUCUUGUAAUACAUGUUGGCAGUGCAACAGGCAAAACCAAAUAACAACAAUCGGAAAAGACUGAAUAAACCAAAACAGAAAGUAAUAACCAGUUUAAUGCUCUGCAAAGUUUUAUCCAUUUGAAGAUGGAGAGGAAAAAGACACUUGUAUGGGGACAACUUUCUCUGGAAUAGAGACUCGUCUCUCGUUUGAGAACUGUGCUAAUUUUUGCACCUUUUAACACAAACAAUAAAUUUUCACUUCAUGUUGAGGUAGGUCAAAAGGAUUUGCACCAUACAAAUUUCAGUAAAAUUAACUUGGAGUAGUUUCUCUCUUUUCGAGUGGAGUAAAUGGACUCCUCCUGGCAAGAGUAUGCAAAUUCCAUCUCUGUAACAGCUGCCCAGGCACACACACACACACUUACACACAAACACACACAGAC
Long non-coding RNA from Drosophila willistoni, 751 nucleotides. RefSeq lists it as uncharacterized. The transcript is spliced from 3 exons. Lineage: Eukaryota; Metazoa; Arthropoda; Insecta; Diptera; Drosophilidae. The record is from RefSeq and is a predicted model, not a curated record.